GCUCAGGAUGAACGCUAGCUACAGGCUUAACACAUGCAAGUCGAGGGGUAGCAGGGUAGCAAUACCGCUGACGACCGGCGCACGGGUGAGUAACACGUAUCCGACCUUCCCAUAACUCAGGGAUAGCCUUUCGAAAGAAAGAUUAAUACCUGAUAGUACUUAAGAAAGGCAUCUUUUUUAAGUUAAAGAUUUAUUGGUUAUGGAUGGGGAUGCGUUCCAUUAGAUAGUUGGUGAGGUAACGGCUCACCAAGUCUUCGAUGGAUAGGGGUUCUGAGAGGAAGGUCCCCCACAUUGGUACUGAGACACGGACCAAACUCCUACGGGAGGCAGCAGUGAGGAAUAUUGGUCAAUGGGCGAGAGCCUGAACCAGCC
RNAcentral lists this ribosomal RNA (372 nucleotides) under uncultured Bacteroidales bacterium. RNAcentral describes it as "bacterial SSU rRNA". It matches the Rfam family "Bacterial small subunit ribosomal RNA", at positions 22 to 393 of the family's 1533-position model. The record is from RNAcentral. Lineage: Bacteria; Pseudomonadati; Bacteroidota; Bacteroidia; Bacteroidales.